GUCCGCCUGCCCUGUGAUAUUUAUUUAACGGCCGCGGUAUUCUGACCGUGCAAAGGUAGCGCAAUCACUUGUCUUUUAAAUGAGGACCCGUAUGAAUGGCAUAACGAGGGCUAAUCUGUCUCCUUUCUCCAGUCAAUGAAAUUGAUCUCCCCGUGCAGAAGCGGGGAUAUAAUUAUAAGACGAGAAGACCCCAUGGAGCUUUAGGCAUAAAUAGAUCAUGUUAAAAACCCCCCCCCGGAAUUAACCUAGUGAAUACUAUCAAACUGCCUUUGGUUGGGGCGACCACGGAAAAAAGAAAAUCCCCCGCGUAAAAGGAGGCCAUUUUUCCCUUCCUCCCAAAAGAGAGUGACAACUCCAACAAGCAGAAACUCUGACUAAUUAUGACCCGGCGAAGCCAAUUAACGAACCGAGUUACCCUGGGGAUAACAGCGCAAUCCCCUUCUAGAGCCCCUAUCGACAAGAGGGUUUACGACCUCGAUGUUGGAUCAGGACAUCCUAAUGGCGCAGCCGUUAUUAAGGGUUCGUUUGUUCAACGAUUAAAGUCCUACGUGAUCUG
RNAcentral lists this ribosomal RNA (556 nucleotides) under Vincentia badia. Its description in RNAcentral is "partial 16S ribosomal RNA". It matches the Rfam family "Bacterial large subunit ribosomal RNA", at positions 1853 to 2607 of the family's 2925-position model. The record is from RNAcentral. Lineage: Eukaryota; Metazoa; Chordata; Actinopteri; Kurtiformes; Apogonidae.